CUCGGACCAGGCUUCAUUCCCCCCA
RNAcentral lists this small RNA (25 nucleotides) under Arabidopsis thaliana (thale cress). Its description in RNAcentral is "ATSL245150". Lineage: Eukaryota; Viridiplantae; Streptophyta; Magnoliopsida; Brassicales; Brassicaceae. The record is from RNAcentral.